UACAGGGGGUGCAAACGUUGCUCGGAAUCAUUGGGCGUAAAGCGCACGUAGGCGGUUACUUAAGUCGGAUGUGAAAGCCCUUGGCUCAACUGAGGAAGUGCAUCCGAAACUGAGUAGCUUGAGUACUAAAGAGGGUCGCGGAAUUCCCGGUGUAGAGGUGAAAUUCGUAGAUAUCGGGAGGAACACCGGUGGCGAAGGCGGCGACCUGGGUAGAGACUGACGCUGAGGUGCGAAAGCGUGGGGAGCAAACAGG
This 253-nucleotide ribosomal RNA is filed under the name uncultured bacterium. RNAcentral's name for it is "partial 16S ribosomal RNA". It matches the Rfam family "Bacterial small subunit ribosomal RNA", at positions 524 to 776 of the family's 1533-position model. The record is from RNAcentral.